GGAGGGAGAGCUCAGUGGUGGAGCACGCGCCUGGCACGCACAAGGUCCUGGGUUCCAUCCCCAGCACCUCCA
Molecule: transfer RNA, 72 nt
Filed under: Camelus bactrianus (Bactrian camel)
Lineage: Eukaryota; Metazoa; Chordata; Mammalia; Artiodactyla; Camelidae
Also listed under: 1 other name
Rfam family: tRNA
About the family: Transfer RNA (tRNA) molecules are approximately 80 nucleotides in length. Their secondary structure includes four short double-helical elements and three loops (D, anti-codon, and T loops).
Source: Rfam by way of RNAcentral